GAUGAACGCUGGCGGCGUGCCUAAUACAUGCGAGUCGAGCGAACGGACGAGAAGCUUGCUUCUCUGAUGUUAGCGGCGGACGGGUGAGUAACACGUGGAUAACCUACCUAUAAGACUGGGAUAACUUCGGGAAACCGGAGCUAAUACCGGAUAAUAUUUUGAACCGCAUGGUUCAAAAGUGAAAGACGGUCUUGCUGUCACUUAUAGAUGGAUCCGCGCUGCAUUAGCUAGUUGGUAAGGUAACGGCUUACCAAGGCAACGAUGCAUAGCCGACCUGAGAGGGUGAUCGGCCACACUGGAACUGAGACACGGUCCAGACUCCUACGGGAGGCAGCAGUAGGGAAUCUUCCGCAAUGGGCGAAAGCCUGACGGAGCAACGCCGCGUGAGUGAUGAAGGUCUUCGGAUCGUAAAACUCUGUUAUUAGGGAAGAACAUAUGUGUAAGUAACUGUGCACAUCUUGACGGUACCUAAUCAGAAAGCCACGGCUAACUAC
RNAcentral lists this ribosomal RNA (494 nucleotides) under uncultured bacterium. Its description in RNAcentral is "partial 16S ribosomal RNA". It matches the Rfam family "Bacterial small subunit ribosomal RNA", at positions 28 to 504 of the family's 1533-position model. The record is from RNAcentral.